UCUUUAUUCACUUGUCGCUCCUGAGUGAAAUGUUGUUUGCAAAAUGAAAAUCUAAUCCUGAUCUGAGAUAGCCAGGAUUCAAACCCGGGUCAACUGCAUACGUCGCUGAUGAAGCAGCGGGAGAAACUUGGGGUUAGGUGUCUUGCCCAAGGACACAUCGGACAUGAGCUGGGGAUCAAACCCUCGAUCUUCCGGUUGUGUGUAUAUGUGUGUGUUCAGUUGUAUUUGAUCUAAACACCCAGCAGGACGUCGAGCUCUUUCUGUCAUUUUCUCUCUCUUUGCGUUCGUCUCUCCGUAUAAUUAUGAAUCUGGAGUCAUGGCGCCUCGGGAAAAUUCUCCAAUCUUUCGCUCAAGUGGAAACAUUUUCGACUUGUGUGGAUGCAUCAAGUCAGCUCAGUUUUAUUUAUAAAUCCAUGAAUCAUACAUUCGCCCCCAGGGGGCAACGUACACAAAUCACCAUUGCUGCAGUUUAUUUUAAAUAAAUCAGCUCCGCCCUCGUGCCAGAGAUUACUCACCCGUGCUGCAGAGCCUCGGCUGAAAAAAAAAAAGUCCCCAACAAAUUCUCUUUUGACUCACGUUUGUGUUUGUUUGUUUGUUUCUAACAAACAUCGUGCAUGGCUGUUUGAAGUUUUAGACCCUUCACCGACAGAGCGAUUCAUUGUUGGUUGUUGUGGGAUUUGUUGACAAUAAGCUACAGAAGUUUUAAUUCUUAAAUCAUAAAUUUGAUUUCAGAUGAAUUAAAGUGUGACUGAGCUGCUCUGUUUGUUAGUUUGACAUGUAAAGGAAGUAUUUGAAUGUACUUAAAUCACUCUAGAUAACAAACUAUUUGUCGCUUUGUUACGAUCAUAUGUGGGACAGCUGUUUCUUGUUUAACCUCGUUAUUCAUGGAAGCCAUUUUUAAUUUAAGUAGAGAGCCUUGAGAAGUCAUUACUUCAUAACUUUGUGCUAAUCAGCUACACAAAUCCUGAGCUUACUCUUUAUUAUACGUUCAAUAACGCUUGUGCUAACAUACAGUCUCUAACUUUUUCUCACCACAUCACAUUUAUAAUUUUAAUUUUGGUGCCAUGUUGACAAUUUGCAAAUGUCUGAAGUGAACCUCUGUGUUUCCUUGAGACCAGGGAAGCAAAGAGGCUUCAUUCUGUGAUUAUUGAAGAGUGUAGAUAAUGACUGUUGGUGAUGGCAUGGUAGAAAAUUUCAAAAACACGGCAUCAAAAAAGACGUCCUAUAGGCACCUAAAACAGGGUCAGCUCUUGUUUUUAAAUGACAAAAUUGCAGGUAACUCCUGAACACUGUCUACAUCGUGCAAAUAUGUUGGCAUAUUUCUGAACCUUAAAACAUUGCCAGCCUAUUUGUGCAAUUUAAACAGAGCUCUCGCUUCACUUUUUUUUUUUUUUGUAGCUCUGACAGCUUUUAGUUUAAAAUGACUGAAGAUCGGGGAUUUAUUUCAAGCUUCUGUACUUGUUGAUACCAUCUAUCAUUUGAAAACCAGAGACUGAAUCAUUGUAAAACCUGUGGUGUUAAAAAGCAUCGAGCAUUUUGUCAACCUUAUUAAAGACACAAACACCUGAACAGCAUCCAUAGUGAUUUGAAGAUACCCAAUAAUUUUCUCAAGCUUUGUUAGUUUAUGGAGAUAAACUUAAAAAAAAGAACAUCCACAUGGUCGAGUCUAAGAUUUGUUUGUGUGUCUAUUUGAAGCGCUGCGUAGUGUGUGUGCAGCUCGCUGAGGGAAUCAUGCCGUUUACGUCCCAAAGAUUUGUGUGUGUGUGAGUGUAGCUAUCUGUCGUGCCUUAAUGGAAGUCGUAGUGUUUUUGUCUUUUCUCUCAAGUGCCUGUGUGACUCUCUGACCCCUAAAAAUAAUUGAUUUAAAAAAAAAAAAGCGUCUUCUGAUUUUUAUCAGCACUGAACACUGAUUUAACUCUUAAAUAGCUGUUCUCAAAGUAGAGUCCUUCUAACGGGUUCCCAAGUGGUUUAUUUACACCAUAAUGUCACCCAAAGCGACAACAAUUUUGUCCUGAAGGUGUUAAACUUUUUCUAUAAUUAAACAUCUGAAAGCAGAAAAUGUAUCACCAACUAAAAAUAUCGAACCCGACCCCCUUAUUGGCCGUCAUCAGAAAAGCAGAAAAUAUUUUUCAGAAGCUCGAAGCAGAAAAUGUUAAUGUGUUAAUGAAAUCAUUGAGAUCCUGUCCAGAAAAGUUGGCAGAAAUUAAACUGUGUAUCAGCCGUGAAUAAUCAAGCUCAGUCCGUUAGAUCGAUCUGCAGAUCUCCACUAUGUGUUUGUUUGUGUCUGGUGUUGUGAUGGUAGUGAUUCUCGUCUCUUCUUUUUCGUGAGUUUUCUUCUCUUGCUGCUAAAACUUCACUCUGUGUGAUCUUUACCUUCAACCAUCUCAUCUGUUUGAUCGGCACAUGCACGCCCGUUCUCUCAGCGCUAACUGACCGACUCAAAGAAAUCACGACUGGAAAAAGAUGUCACUCUCACAUUGCAACUGUUUUCCUAACUCCAGUGAUCAAACAAAGCCAGCACACUCUGUCCGUCCUUACACUUUUUCACCAUCAGCAGGAAAAAAAUGCACCGUCACUCCUCCGAUCUUCAUUGUUUCCUUCAGACCUGAGACUGUUCUUCUUCUUGUCUUUUUGUGCAUUUGAACCUCUGUAACAUUCCCCGUGACCAAUUCUUUGUUGUCCUUGAUUCCUCAAACAAAGCUGGUGAUAUUUAAAAAGAAAAAAAUGUGAAAUAAAUCUUUUACUCGUC
This is a long non-coding RNA of Labrus mixtus (cuckoo wrasse), 2749 nucleotides long. RefSeq lists it as uncharacterized. The record is from RefSeq and is a predicted model, not a curated record. The transcript has 2 exons. Lineage: Eukaryota; Metazoa; Chordata; Actinopteri; Labriformes; Labridae.